Molecule: non-coding RNA, 71 nt
Organism: Gekko japonicus
Lineage: Eukaryota; Metazoa; Chordata; Lepidosauria; Squamata; Gekkonidae
Source: the annotation of a RefSeq genome assembly
GGGGCUGUGGCUUAGUGGAAGAGCUUCUGCUUUUCAUGCAGAAGAUCCCAGGUUCAAUCCCUGGCAUCUCG